RNAcentral lists this transfer RNA (82 nucleotides) under Caudoviricetes sp. Its description in RNAcentral is "tRNA-Ile". It matches the Rfam family "tRNA". Rfam says of the family: Transfer RNA (tRNA) molecules are approximately 80 nucleotides in length. Their secondary structure includes four short double-helical elements and three loops (D, anti-codon, and T loops). Lineage: Duplodnaviria; Heunggongvirae; Uroviricota; Caudoviricetes. The record is from RNAcentral.
CGGAAUAUAGUUCAGUGGUAGAACAACUAUUUUAUUUAGCUGAUGCAAAUAGUGUGCCGGGGUUCGAAUCCUUGUAUUCCGA